CUCCAGCCUGGGCGACAUAGAGAGAUUCAUCUCAAAAACAAAAAAGAAACAAAAAACCAUUUAAAUAACAUUUAAAAUACACAAACCAAAACCAUUUCAGAUACCCUCAAAAAAGUACAAAAAUAACAGAAACAGCCGGGUGCGGUGGCUCACACCUGUAAUCCCAGCACUUUGGGAGGCCGAGGUGGGUGGCUCACUUGAGGUCAGUAGCCACCAAGACCAUCCUGGCCAACAUGGUGAAACCCUGUCUCUACUAAAAAUACAAAAAUUAGCCAGGCAUGGCGGUGCGCACCUGUCAUCCCAGCUACUCAGGAGACUGAGGCAGGAGAAUCGCUUGAACCCGGGAGGUGGAGGUUGCAGUGAGCCGAGAUCACGCCAUUGCAC
Molecule: long non-coding RNA, 384 nt
Organism: Homo sapiens (human)
Lineage: Eukaryota; Metazoa; Chordata; Mammalia; Primates; Hominidae
Source: Ensembl